This is a long non-coding RNA of Magallana angulata, 1086 nucleotides long. RefSeq lists it as uncharacterized. The transcript is spliced from 2 exons. NCBI's taxonomy places the organism in Eukaryota, Metazoa, Mollusca, Bivalvia, Ostreida, Ostreidae. The record is from RefSeq and is a predicted model, not a curated record.
UUUUUAAUCUUGUAUUUUAUUGUGCAUAUUAAGCCACACUUGAUUCUUAUCAAACAUGACACCUUUCAUCUAAAACGACAUAAUUUUUUCUUUGAAGAAAGUAAAACAAACGCAUGGGACAAUGGCAACAAUGGGUCGAUUUGCCACUUUUCAAAAUUUAUUUUCAAUAAUAACGACAAAAUGAAAUCGAUAUUUAAUCCAGUUUUAGCAAACUCUAACAAAUUCAGAUACGAAGUAAAUGUACAUGUAUCAUUUUCAUUUUCAAAGUUUGAAAAUACAGAGAAUUAAUUACCAGCUUUACAAGCUGGACGCUUUUGUUUCUAUUUUCAAAUACACUAUUAAAACAAUGUACAUGAUAAAAAUAAAUAAUUUUAUUUGAACAGCAUUAACAAAAAACAGUAGUCAUGUAGAUGUAUAUGUAAAAAAUAGGCAAAUGAUAGGCAAUCUUAAAAUUAUGUACUUUCUGAUCAUCUCGGAGGCACCUCUCUGCUUAAAUCAAAAUUAACAUGUAAUGAAAGACAUUAACAUUACCCUUUAUUUUUUAAAAGCCAAUUUUGCAAACUAAGAACAACACCCCGAUAUUUUUCUCUAUUACCUGAUGGUAAUGAUAAAUGCAGAGAUAAAAGUAGUUCACUAUGAUUGAAAGUAUAUCAAUCUUUGAUAAAAUAAAAAUUUGUUAUUUGUCACUGAUCCCCUGGAUUAUGGUUAUUAUGACGUAUAUUACGCUACGUUCCAUCUUAAAGUGCAUCCAACAUACCUAUAGGAUGCAUAGGAGUUCUUAAGUGACACUUUCGUAAAUUUCAAAGCACUUGAUCUAUGAUACAUGGACAAAAUGACUUCUUUUUUUAAUUUUUAACAGUUGUCAAAAUGAGGUAUUUCAUGAAAGUUGAUUUAAAUACUGUACAUGUUUUGAUUAUUUCGCUAAUGCUACACAUUUCACAAUCACAGCAAACUUUAUGAGAAGCACAAUUUCAAAUAAUAUAUUGCUAAAUAAUGCCAAACAAGGCAUGGGACUCUUUUCAUCCUCCAUUUUUGUAAUAAAUGCAAAAAUUAAAUAAUUUCAUAAGUCAUGCUUCACUUGAAUUA